GGGGAAUCUUGCGCAAUGGCCGAAAGGCUGACGCAGCGACGCCGCGUGAGGGAUGACGGCCUUCGGGUUGUAAACCUCUGUUGCCCGGGACGAACACCCAUUUCGAUGGGGAUGACGGUACCGGGUGAGGAAGCACCGGCUAACUCUGUGCCAGCAGCCGCGGUAAUACAGAGGGUGCGAGCGUUGUCCGGAAUCACUGGGCGUAAAGGGCGCGUAGGCGGUGGCGUAAGCGUGCGGUGAAAGCUCGGGGCUCAACCCCGAGUCGGCCGUGCGAACUGGGCCACUGGAGCAGAUCAGAGGCAGGCGGAAUUCCGGGUGUAGCGGUGGAAUGCGUAGAGAUCCGGAAGAACACCGGUGGCGAAGGCGGCCUGCUGGGAUCUUGCUGACGCUGAGGCGCGACAGCGUGGGGAGCAAA
RNAcentral lists this ribosomal RNA (415 nucleotides) under uncultured bacterium. RNAcentral describes it as "bacterial SSU rRNA". It matches the Rfam family "Bacterial small subunit ribosomal RNA", at positions 356 to 772 of the family's 1533-position model. The record is from RNAcentral.